GAGCAUGUGGUUUAAUUCGAUGCAACGCGAAGAACCUUACCUACUCUUGACAUCCAGCGAAUCCUGUAGAGAUACGGGAGUGCCUUCGGGAACGCUGAGACAGGUGCUGCAUGGCUGUCGUCAGCUCGUGUUGUGAAAUGUUGGGUUAAGUCCCGCAACGAGCGCAACCCUUAUCCUUUGUUGCCAGCGGUUCGGCCGGAGGACUCAAAGGAGACUGCCAGUGAUAAACUGGAGGAAGGUGGGGAUGACGUCAAGUCAUCAUGGCCCUUACGAGUAGGGCUACACACGUGCUACAAUGGCGUAUACAAAGAGAAGCGACCUCGCGAGAGCAAGCGGACCUCAUAAAGUACGUCGUAGUCCGGAUUGGAGU
RNAcentral lists this ribosomal RNA (370 nucleotides) under uncultured bacterium. RNAcentral's name for it is "bacterial SSU rRNA". It matches the Rfam family "Bacterial small subunit ribosomal RNA", at positions 935 to 1304 of the family's 1533-position model. The record is from RNAcentral.